GAGACGGAGUAAGAGGAGCUUGAAUGAACCUCGGAAAAAGCGAAAUGUUUAACUUUAUGUCUGAGAUUGCGGCAAAUAACUCGAAAUCCCUGUCUGAGCCACGCACACGUUCCUGUGUUCCUGUGUCGCCUUCAGCCCCUCCUGGCGGUUUCUGCUUGUUGCUAUCGUUGUCGUCGGUCUGCAGUCUCCAGUCUCGAGUCUCCAGGCCAACCAACAACGAAUCAGUCGGAUUCAGUGUGGAGUGGCCGGCACAUCGAUGCGAUGAUAACUGGCAUGGCCAAGAGCCAGCAGGACAUGCUGGUGCCAGUCAGCACAAACGACAAUUUAAUGGAUAGUUCAAUGGCACCGAGCACCCGACCAAAACGAACUAGAGUUACUUCCUAUGAAGAUAGUAUAUACCUUCUAUGUUAGCUUCUAUAUUAUGCUAGUACACACAUAUGAAUUAAGAGUAUCCCAAGUAAAAAUAAUAAUACAGACUAACCCUUUUGCCUUUGGGGUAUCCAUUAAAGAGUUUAAUAUACUUAUUUCUAAAAUGCUUCAUGAACUAGUAUAUAAUAGUAUUUCCAAAGACUCUAGAAUCGGGAGAGCCUUUGACUAGUUCGUCGCCUGGCCAGCUGUUGCUGCUGCCCCCAUCGAUGGAGCACGCUAACUGCUGCUAUUGGCAAUCAGGCUGCUUAAACGCUGCCAGCUAUCCAACUAGCCGGCCAACGACGUGAGCUUAAUGCGCAAAAAGCAGGGAUAGCUGGUCCUGUAAGAGAGUAUCUGGUGGGGGAAGCGGCAAAAGGGGAGCAGGGGAGCAGGGGGGAAGAAGGAAGAGUGCAUUGGCGUUCGAGUGGCACAAGAUUUAUGCUCGGGUCAACAAGGUCGAUGGCGGCAAGCGUUGCACAUGUUGUCGUCUCAUCUUAAACGUAUUAGGAGCUGGAGCUCCAGUGCCAAGCUCUUUUGCUCCGAACUCAUUUCGUAUGCAGCUCAGGCGAUGUUUUAGCAGUUUGCUCUAUUAUUUAUUGCUGGCCGUUUCACUGGCCAGUUCGUCCCAGUUCGUCCCUGUGUGAGUCCAUCCCUUUUGAGAAUCCAUUUGAAAAUCAAAAUCGCAGCUAAUGCGCCAUCAGCAAAUACACAACGAGAUUGCGACAGGGAUGAGCAACGUGGCCUGACCUUCAGUCGAGAAAUCUCAUUAGCAUUGGAGCAGGCUAUAGAAAGGCGUAAGGAUCUGAGGAGCUACGAAACUGAGCAGGCAGAGGGAAAUGGAGCACAUUGAGGGGACUUUGUCGGCGCCAGCUUACUGACUUAAAACACAGGGGCAAACGGUGCUGCUCGGCAGUAAGUUUUCCCAGUAGCUAGCUGUGCAAAAUUUAUUGAAAAACUUUCUUAUCGCAUUUGAACAAGCGAGUAACUUCUCUGGAUAAGAGGACAAAAAAAAACAAGGAAAACGAAAUGCCAGCGACGACUGGCCGGCCAGACUGAAAGUAACUUAAUUGUUUGCAGAUACAAAUAAAUGAGUUGCACAAAAAAAAACACAACACACUCACACAAAAGGACACGAGGCCAGGCAAGGCCAAGCUCACAACAAGGGACAGGAAAACAAGAAGAAAAUCUUGACUUGAUUGUUGGAAAAUCUUUGGCCCAGCCAGGCAAACAAAUCGAAAACUUUAAUGCGCUGCAGAGCAACGGGAAGGUGGCGGCGAAAGAUUAAAAGAACUGUUUCGGAUUCUCAAAAGGAUUUCAGGACACGACAUUUAUUUAGGAAGCUGCUUCUAAUUAGUGGCAAAACAAUGGAGGCGGAGGCAGCUUAUCCUUUACGUUUUGUUCCGUUUUGUAAGGGAAUGCUUUUACUUUCUUAUUUGGCUUGAUUGUACAAGGAGCGGUGAAAUGAUAUGAUGCAGUGAAAUGAACAGUGAGUUGAAACGCCUUAGGCGUAUUGGAAAUAUUACAAAAAGUUAAGUACGCAAGGGAAUCCUACAAUCAAGGACAUUUGUUAACUUGUGAACCUCCAUAUAGUUUUCUAACUCAAAUCGAAGCCUGCCGAAGGAAAAAAUAACAAGGCCAUGUCCGAGUUGAAAAGCAAUAAAGAUUUCCGCAAGUUCAGCGAUUCGCUAGAAACAUGCCAGCGCAAAAGGACUCCCACUCAGGAUUCAGGAUUCAGGAUCGUGGAAUGGGCCGAAUGGGCGGGUCAUCUCGCCUGCGGUCGCAUUGACAUUAUAGCCUGGCCGAGACAGAAAUUCACAGGAAUCCAUGGAACUACAACAAUAACAACAAUAGUGGCAGGAGAGGCAUGACAUUGAGGGCCAGGACAAUAACUGGGAUAACAAUAAGCACAAUGGCGACGAGAAGGACGAAGGCGGGACGAGCUAAAGCCCGCAUUGUGGAGAUGCUGCUGGCAAGGCAUUCAGCUGUUUGCACAACAAUUUGAUCAAUUUCGUUAUUAAUCCGAUUUGAUGGGGCGAAGAACCCCAUCGGCAGCCAUUUUGACGAUUUUGUGGUUAUUGUCGGAAGUGCAAAUGCAAAUGCAAAUGGAGAUGCAUCCACCGCAAGCUAGAGAGGAGUGCAGAUGAGAUGAGGGGAGAGAGGAGAAGAUGGACCGGGGUAAUGGCUCCUGGGAGUGGGGGCCAAUUGCCAUGCCAGUCACAUGCCCGUUGCCAAAUUUGCACUGGCACAAGUCAAACGCCCCCAUCGAGUUGACAAUGGAGUCCCUGCAUGCCAAUGAAUUGACUCGCACUCGCACUCGCACUCGCAGCAAUCCAAGCCGAAAUUCCCAGUAAAAAUCAAACGUGUCGCUGAUCCGGGGCUUCCUUUAAGUCAAGCGCACCAGGCGGCAAAUGUCUGGAGUGCCAGCUGCUUAACCCACUAAAAACCACUAAAGGCUUUAAAGCAAGAAAGCACUUCGAACUACCAAAACUAUAUUUAGAUUAUGUACCAGAAAAAGGACAUUCAAGAAGCUAAAUCUUUUUAAAGCGCUUAAGCUUUUAAAAAAUAUAUUGAAUAACUUCUGAGGAAGAUUUUAUAGUUAUUAUAGUUUUUCGGUAAUAUUAAUAACAUAAAAUUGCUACUAAUUUAUCUCAAGUUACUAUCUCAUGCUACUCAGCCCCAAAAACUAACCGGAGCUCUUUUGUGCACAGUGGGUUAAUGGAAUCCCCUUCAGGAUGCAGCAAUGCUUCUUUCCAUUGUAGCUGUUAGCCUGGGGAUAUGCAAUGGCAGCACAUUAAAAUAUGUGCAUGCGAUAACGGCUGAAGAGAGGGGAGCUUUGGGUUGAGUUCGGUUGGGGAGAUGCCAAGAUGCCAAUGCAGGCGACAACGUUCGACAACUGCCAAUGAGUGGGCCUGGCCAGGAGGCGGAGCAGGAGGAGGAGCAGGGACACCAAUCGGGAUGGGGAGCACUGGCGGUUGGGGUCCGUUCAAGUGCGCGUCAGCAGCUACGAGCAGCACAUUUCCGUUUCCGCACACGAAAUGCUCUGGAAACGAAGCAUUUUCAAAAUGCAAAACGUGGCGCAAAAUGUAAACAGGGUUGGGGGCACCACCAAAAGGUACACCGAGAAAUAUGAUUUCCAUUUUGUUUUUUUUUUGUUGAAGAGUAAGCUAGAUUCUUUGCAAUCUAUGAACACCAUUAUAUUUUUUACUUUAACGGUUGCCACAUUUCAAGAUACUACGAAAUGCUGAGUAGUGCAUACUUUAGGUAGUUAAUUUGAAUUGAUUGUGAAACUAGUUAUUGCUUUUAUAAUAUAAAUAUAAUUUUAAAAGUGAAUACCGCA
This is a long non-coding RNA of Drosophila santomea, 3745 nucleotides long. RefSeq lists it as uncharacterized. The record is from RefSeq and is a predicted model, not a curated record. Lineage: Eukaryota; Metazoa; Arthropoda; Insecta; Diptera; Drosophilidae. The transcript is spliced from 2 exons.